RNAcentral lists this ribosomal RNA (584 nucleotides) under uncultured beta proteobacterium. RNAcentral describes it as "bacterial SSU rRNA". It matches the Rfam family "Bacterial small subunit ribosomal RNA", at positions 8 to 582 of the family's 1533-position model. The record is from RNAcentral. Lineage: Bacteria; Pseudomonadati; Pseudomonadota; Betaproteobacteria.
AGAGUUUGAUCCUGGCUCAGAUUGAACGCUGGCGGAAUGCUUUACACAUGCAAGUCGAACGGCGAGCACGGGAGCUUGCUCCUGGUGGCGAGUGGCGAACGGGUGAGUAAUACCUAGGAACAUGUCCAGUAGUGGGGGAUAACGCAGCGAAAGCUGUGCUAAUACCGCAUACGCCCUACGGGGGAAAGCGGGGGAUUCGCAAGAACCUCGCGUUAUUGGAGUGGCCUAGGCCUGAUUAGCUAGUUGGUGAGGUAAAGGCUCACCAAGGCGACGAUCAGUAGCUGGUCUGAGAGGAUGAUCAGCCACACUGGAACUGAGACACGGUCCAGACUCCUACGGGAGGCAGCAGUGGGGAAUUUUGGACAAUGGGGGAAACCCUGAUCCAGCCAUUCCGCGUGAGUGAAGAAGGCCUUCGGGUUGUAAAGCUCUUUCAGGAGGGAAGAAACGGUUGCAGCUAAUAUCUGCGACUAAUGACGGUACCUUCAGAAGAAGCACCGGCUAACUACGUGCCAGCAGUCGCGGUAAUACGUAGGGUGCGAGCGUUAAUCGGAAUUACUGGGCGUAAAGCGUGCGCAGGCGGUUUU